Molecule: ribosomal RNA, 494 nt
Filed under: uncultured bacterium
Lineage: Bacteria
Description: partial 16S ribosomal RNA
Rfam family: Bacterial small subunit ribosomal RNA
Source: RNAcentral
GACGAACGCUGGCGGCGUGCUUAACACAUGCAAGUCGAACGGAAAGGCCUGCUUUCCCUUGUGGAUUGCGGGUACUCGAGUGGCGAACGGGUGAGUAACACGUGAGUUAUCUGCCCCCAACUUGGGUAUAAGCCUGGGAAACUGGGUCUAAUUCCCGAUAGGACUGCAGGGUGGUGCCUGUGGUGGAAAACGAUUUUCUAGUGGUUGGGGAUGAGCUCGCGGCCUAUCAGCUUGUUGGUGGGGUAAUGGCCUACCAAGGCGGCGACGGGUAGCCGGCCUGAGGGGGUGGACGGCCACAUUGGGACUGAGAUCCGGCCCAGACUCCUACGGGAGGCAGCAGUGGGGAAUAUUGCACAAUGGGCGGAAGCCUGAUGCAGCGACGCCGCGUGGGGGAUGACGGCCUUCGGGUUGUAAACUCCUUUCGACCGCGAGGAAGCCACCUGGUUGGAAGGGUGGUGACGGUAGUGGUAGAAGAAGCACCGGCUAACUACGUG